CCUACGGGUGACAGCAGUGGGGAAUAUUGCACAAUGGGGGAAACCCUGAUGCAGCGACGCCGCGUGCGUGAGGAAGUAUUUCGGUAUGUAAAGCUCUAUCAGCAGGGAAGAAAAUGUCGGUAACUGACUAAUAAGCCACGGCUAAUUACGUGUCAGCAGCCGCGGUAAUACGUAGGGGGAAAGCGCUAUCCGGUAUUACUGGGUGAAAAGGGAGCGGAGACGGUUUAGCAAGUCAGAAAGGUAAACCCAGGGCUCAAACUUGGGACUGCUUUUGAAACUGAGUAGCUAGAGUGCAGGAGAGGUAAGCGGAAUUCCUAGUGUAGCGGUGAAAUGCGUAGAUAUAAGGAAGAACACCAGUGGCGAAGGCAGCUUACUGGAUUGAAACUGACGUUGAGGCACGAAAGCGUGGGGAGCAAACAGGAUUAGAUACCCCUGUAGUC
RNAcentral lists this ribosomal RNA (440 nucleotides) under uncultured bacterium. RNAcentral's name for it is "partial 16S ribosomal RNA". It matches the Rfam family "Bacterial small subunit ribosomal RNA", at positions 338 to 795 of the family's 1533-position model. The record is from RNAcentral.